RNAcentral lists this ribosomal RNA (403 nucleotides) under uncultured bacterium. Its description in RNAcentral is "partial 16S ribosomal RNA". It matches the Rfam family "Bacterial small subunit ribosomal RNA", at positions 28 to 526 of the family's 1533-position model. The record is from RNAcentral.
GACGAACGCUGGCGGCGUGCCUAAUACAUGCAAGUCGAACGCAGUGGGGACGGGUGAGUAACACGUGGGUAACCUCCCAUCAGAGGGGAUAACACUUGGAAACAGGUGCUAAACCGAUACUGAUGGAUGGACCCGCGGUGCAUUAGGUAGUUGGUGAGGUAACGGCUCACCAAGGCCACGAUGAAUAGCAGACCCGAGAGGGUGAUCGGCGACACUGUGAUGUAGACACGGCCGAGACGCCUACGGUAGGCAGCAGUAGGGACUCUUCGGCAAUGGACGAAAGUCUGACCGAGCAACGCCGCGUGAGUGAUGAAGGUUUUCGGAUCGUAUAACUCUGUUGGUAGAGAAGCGGUAUCUAACCAGAAAGCCACGGCUAACUACGUGCCAGCAGCCGCGGUAAUUC